RNAcentral lists this ribosomal RNA (206 nucleotides) under uncultured bacterium. Its description in RNAcentral is "partial 16S ribosomal RNA". It matches the Rfam family "Bacterial small subunit ribosomal RNA", at positions 1287 to 1500 of the family's 1533-position model. The record is from RNAcentral.
CUCAGUUCGGAUUGGAGUCUGCAACCCGACUCCAUGAAGCUGGAUUCGCUAGUAAUCGCGCAUCAGCCACGGCGCGGUGAAUACGCUCCCGGGCCUUGUACACACCGCCCGUCAAGCCAUGGAAGCCGGGAGUGCCUGAAGUGCGUGAGCGCAAGCAGCGCCCUAAGGUAAAACCGGUGACUGGGGCUAAGUCGUAACAAGGUAAC